RNAcentral lists this small nuclear RNA (88 nucleotides) under Zalophus californianus (California sea lion). Lineage: Eukaryota; Metazoa; Chordata; Mammalia; Carnivora; Otariidae. The record is from RNAcentral.
GUGCUCUCUUUGGCAGCACAUAUACUAAAACUGGAAUGCCACAGAGAAGAUUAGCAUGGCCUUAGCGCAAGGAUGACACACAAAUUUG